This 69-nucleotide transfer RNA is filed under the name Rattus norvegicus (Norway rat). It matches the Rfam family "tRNA". From Rfam's summary of the family: Transfer RNA (tRNA) molecules are approximately 80 nucleotides in length. Their secondary structure includes four short double-helical elements and three loops (D, anti-codon, and T loops). The record is from Rfam by way of RNAcentral. Lineage: Eukaryota; Metazoa; Chordata; Mammalia; Rodentia; Muridae.
GGGGAUUUAGCUCAGUGGUAGAGCAUUUGCCUAGCAAGCGCAAGGCCCUGGGUUCCAUCCCCAGCUCCG